AAACUUUCAGCAAUGGAUCUCUUGGCUCUCGCAUCGAUGAAGAACGCAGCGAAACGCGAAAUGUAAUGUGAAUUGCAGAAUUCUGUGAAUCAUCGAAUCUUUGAACGCACCUUGCGCUCUUGGGUUAUUCCCUGAGAGCAUGCUUGUUUGAGUGUCGCAA
RNAcentral lists this ribosomal RNA (160 nucleotides) under Ruinenia dracophylli. RNAcentral describes it as "5.8S rRNA". It matches the Rfam family "5.8S ribosomal RNA". Rfam says of the family: 5.8S ribosomal RNA (5.8S rRNA) is a component of the large subunit of the eukaryotic ribosome. It is transcribed by RNA polymerase I as part of the 45S precursor that also contains 18S and 28S rRNA. Lineage: Eukaryota; Fungi; Basidiomycota; Agaricostilbomycetes; Agaricostilbales; Ruineniaceae. The record is from RNAcentral.